CGUAACUGUAACCUUUAUGCACGUAUUUGGAUGUAGUAUUUCAAAUUCUAGAUCAUUAUAGCAUCCAAGCAACAUAACAUUUACGUGUCAAUUUGUUAGGACUAUGAUUGGAUAGGAAUAAGUAACUUGGGAUUGCUAAGUUGGAAUAGUUUUGGAGGAAACAGUUAUCAAUUGUAGUCAAAUGUAUUGAGAAGAGUAUAAGUACUCAACACUAUUGUACUGUACAAUUCAUUGAAUAAAUAAUACAAAUUACUUUUCUCCUAAAGAUUCUAUUCCCUCUGUUUCACCCUCUCUGCUCUUCUUCUUCUUUCUCUGCUCUUUCUUCCUCUGUUCUGUUCUCCCUUCUCUCUUCCAAUCUUCUUCUCUUCUUCUAUAUUCUUCUACCAAUCUCAUCGUCAUCUGGCUUGCAUAUAGUCUCAUCAAACUCCCUGGUGUUCUCAAUGGUGCGAGGAAUCUGCCUUGGAGGAGGCUCCUCGCCCAGCUCGAGAGAGCGCUUCUCAGAGGCAUCUCGAGCCUUGAGCUUCUUUCGCUUCU
This 534-nucleotide unclassified non-coding RNA is filed under the name Hevea brasiliensis (rubber tree). Lineage: Eukaryota; Viridiplantae; Streptophyta; Magnoliopsida; Malpighiales; Euphorbiaceae. The record is from RNAcentral.